This is a long non-coding RNA of Triplophysa rosa, 4615 nucleotides long. RefSeq lists it as uncharacterized. The transcript has 3 exons. NCBI's taxonomy places the organism in Eukaryota, Metazoa, Chordata, Actinopteri, Cypriniformes, Nemacheilidae. The record is from RefSeq and is a predicted model, not a curated record.
AUGAAACAGGCUAUGUGUGCGCAUCAAGUUUAAACGGCUCGUCCGCGAGACGCGCAACGCGGGGAAGAGUCGCGCGAGUAUGAAACGGGCUAUGUGUGCGCGUCAAGUUUAAACGGCUCGUCCGCAAGACGCGCAACGCGGGGAAGAGUCGCGCGAGUAUGAAACAGGCUAUGUGUGCGCAUCAAGUUUAAAUGGCUCAUCCGCGAGACGCGCAACACGGGGAAGAGACGAGCGAGUAUGAAACGGGCUAUGUGUGCGCGUCAAGUUUAAACGGCUCGUCCGCAAGACGCGCAACGCGGGGGUUAGAGAGCGAGUAUAACACAGGCGGUGUGUACGGGCUUCUGAAUUGGAUGGUUCUUUAGUAUUUAUUUGCCUAAUAUGAUCGAUCUGACUCUGCAGAUGCCAUAACACACACUCUCUCUCUCUCGCCCGCUUUCUGUUUUUUUUUUUUGAUUAGGCAUAACGGAGGUGCGUUCACUCUGUUGGUUAGCAAGAAUGCCACUCAAAGCGGGCUUGGAACAGACGCGUUUCCUAUAUUUCACAUCGUUUCCACAUCGCAGCCUCUUGCGAUUAGCAAAUCGCAACGUCUCACAUCGUGAUUGCGAUUCGAUUUCGAUUAAACGUUCAGCCCUAUUAUUGUGUCAUAAAAUGUAGUUUUAAGACUUGUUUAGGCGAGAAUGUAUGUGUGUUAAGUUCAAAACAUCGAUCGGCUAGAUAACGUCUAUUUAGAAAUGUGCUCAAAUGUUUUCGGAGAUGUGACCUCCAAACAACCACCGGGAGCUCCGUGCUCAUGUACCCCGCCCAACACUGUCUCACCUUGGUAGGUCCUGCUGAAAAUCACUGCUGUUUGUUAUGUCUCUGUAGUAGUUAAACAACGUAUUUUAUUUUAUUUUAGGUAUAUAUAAGUCAAUCUUUGCUCUCAUUAGUCUAUUAGUUUCUGUGCAGAUCGUUUUGAAAGAGGGUAAAUUGUAUAACUUUAUAUUAUAUUACGUAGCACAGUAAACAACAUGCACAAUACGGUAAUCAGAGUGAGCACGUUGCCUGAUUCACAUGUUUUUUUUAAUUAAAACGACAGGAUCCAGUGGUUUAUAUAACUUCAUAUUACUGCGUUUAAAUGUAAAUCUACUAGGGCUGCAACAACUAAUCGAUAAAAUCGAUAAUAAUCGAUAAUGAAAUUCGUUGUCAACGAAUUUCAUUAUCGAUUAGUUGGUCUGUGAUGUCACUUGCGAGCUGCGCAGUUACAAAUCAAGCGCGUCUUCUUCCCUUUUAAAAUUACCAUUUUAGAUGUGUCUCUCCGUGCAGCAUGAGCUGCGCAGUUUUAAAUGUCAGACGUAUCUCUCCGUGCAGCAUGAGCUGCGCAGUUUUAAAUGUCAGACGUGUCUCUCCGUGCAGCGUGAGGUGCGCAGUUUGAAAGUCACACGUGUCUCUCCGUGCAGCGUGCGGUGCGCAGUUUGAAAGUCACACGUGUCUCUCCGUGCAGCGUGCGGUGCGCAGUUUGAAAGUCACACGUGUCUCUCCGUGCAGCGCGAGGUGCGCAGUUUGAAAGUCACACGUGUCUCUCCGUGCAGCGCGAGGUGCGCAGUUUGAAAGUCACACGUGUCUCUCCGUGCAGCGCGAGGUACGCAGUUUGAAAGUCACACGUGUCUCUCCGUGGAUGCGUCUCUCCGUGCGGCACAAGUUGCGCAGUUUUAAAAUCAGACGUGUCUCUCGGUGCAUGCGUCUCUCCAUGCAGCGCGAGGUGCACAGUUUUAAAGUCCGUCGUGUUCUGCAUGCAUCUUUUCAAGCUGCGUAGUUUUAAAGUUUAAAAGGGAGAGGUGUUUAAAUGACAAAAUUAAAGAUUAUAUUAGUAAAACCCAAUUUGUGGCGUUUGCACUUUGCAAAGUACAUAAUAGGCUAAAUACCCUGAUUUGGUGGUUUAUUUAGUUCAGAGGUGGGUAACGAAGUACAUUUACUUGAGUACUGUACUUAAGUACACUUUUUGAGUAUUUGUACAGAAGUAUUACUUUUUCUGUUUACUUUUUACUGUACUUCACUACAUUUUAAUGACAAAUAUCUCACUUUUCAUGGCACAAAAAAUGAUUUCCUUGGCCGACCCUCCCCUCGCUCCCACGUUUGGGAGAGACUAUUGUCAGUUGCUUCUAAUAUGACACACCUGAAUCAACUCACCAGGUGUGUUAAUUAUGGAGACAUUCACAACAUUUUGGGAGAAGGCUAAUGAGUUCAGUUGUGUAUACUUUUCCCAUAUCUGAUUUACUUAUUAUAAGCAAAAGAUGUAAUUGCAUUUUAUCCGAUUAACCGAAAAAAAUAAUAAUCGCCCAACUAAUCGAUUAUCAAAAUAAUCGUUAGUUGCAGCCCUAAAAUCUACAUAAAAAUAAAAUGGAUUGCAUGUAUGUAUCACGGCUGUUUGAAGCAUCAUGUACUCUGCUGUGUCCUGAACUACGUCCUGCCAUUCGAAGUCCGAACCAGCAACAGCGGAAGUCCGUUCUUUGAGUUCGUCUAAUCAAGAAACGGCCUUUCUUUGCCGAAGCGAGGGGAACGUCAUUCAGAUGUAUUUAUGGUAAAUUAAUUUAAAUUAAACCUAUAUUUGUAAUAAUGUUGAUAUGGGGAUGUGGGGAGUGUUUUUUAUUGUGUGCCACUGCUAAUUGUCCUGGCUAUGUUAUGAGAAAGGUGUGUUUCAUAUUAAAUUUGGUUAGCACUCAUACGUAAUCCCUUUAGUAAUAUUCACUAAAGUUGCAUGCGGAAAGUUUGCUGGCACACAUUAAGAAUAGUUGUCAUAGAAGCGAUUGGGGUACGUUUAACGUUAGCAGUCUGUCUUCUGUUUCUGUCAAAUCCAGGAUCACUUUGGAAAAAUCAGAUAAACACCUCGUUGGGUUACUUUGACCCAGCGACUGGUUUAUAAUUUGCAGAUCUUUCUGGAGUUUUCACUUCUGACUGGAUCACACUCGGAGCAGGUAGAAAUUUAUGGUAAGUUAAUGUGACUUUUUACUUAUGUUUUUAAUAAGCUGUGGAAGGCGCAAACAUAAUUUAUUGUUCAAGAUAACAUUAAAUGAUUUGAUAUGGGCGGUGUUAAUGUUUUUUGUUAUUCUAUGCCAAUUAACUUAGCCAUGUUAAUAGUUAGCAAAUGCGUCAUCGUUAACGUUAGGUCGUAACGUUAGUUAAAAACGAGCUAUAUCUACCACCUUUUGAACAGUCAGAAAUUUACAAGUUGUAAAUUCAUCACUUCAAUAUCGUAUUCAUCAAGGUUUCCUCUGGAAUUUAAAAGGGGGAAAAGCUGUUGGUAUUUUAUCCAGACAGAGCGCCGUGAUCCCCUUAGCCCUAAUACGUUAAAUCCUGAGGUAAAUUAGUCAGAUACACAAAAGUUAAUGUUCACAUCAUGUACAUCAUGGCUUCAUUGCAUAUUUACAAGGGGGAAACGCGUAUUGUAUUAAAUCCUUGAAAGGAUUCUUGUGUAUGCUCUGCCAGAGGGGAAACUUCAAUUUGUACAGGGUGACAUGACACCAGGUAAGCUAUAUCUUAUAAUCUUAUGUCAUCAUUUUGUUGUGCAUUACUACUUCAGAAAUAUAAAUUAUUAUUUAUAUACAGUAUUAUGAAUUAUAUAAAGUAAACUAUUUAAAUGUUAACGCAACACUAUAUUGUGCUCAAAUUGUUUAGUUGCUAAAGCGGAGACAGCUUUGAAGGUCCUGCCAACUCUGCUACCCCCAUCUACAGGAUGUACAAGAGAGGAGGAAAGGUCUUCAGACCCACCACUGACGAGGCCCAGAGGUCAUUUAUUGACAUGCAACCUGGAUGGGCACAAGUACCAUAGUACUCGGAUGAGUCACGAUCAUCGUUUUAAUAACCGAUUGUUGCAAUUACAUUUUUAAAUAAGGUGGGGACCAACAUGGUGGAAUAUCUUCACAAUAUCGUGAUGACUGGAGAAUUGUUGCGCGUUUUGUGCCUUGCGGACGAGACAAGGGGGACCUGCUAGACAUUUGCCAUCGCUGGAUGCAAUGCCAUUGAGACAGACUCUUUGUUGGAGGCUGUUGAUGUCUGUUUUAAAGGUUUUUAGGUCUUUGAUGUUACGUACACAAAGCAGUGUCUUCACACCUGGGGGUUUCUCCAGCAUGCUGUAUAUCAGAUUGAUGGACACGAGUCGUCAUCUGUUAAAUUUUUGAGGACAACAGUUUUUUCAGCUGACAUUUAAUAACUUAUAAUUUUGUAAUUUAGUUAACUAUGAAGUUUUGUUGCAGGACUCCUUGUUCUUAAUAAACAUGUUCUUAUCAUUUUGAUAAAUGAAAAUAGUAUGUGGGGAAUGAUUAAUGUCAUGUGGGGGUUAAAACAUUUGUAUUAAAAACUUUUAUGCAUUAGCACAAUUCAAAACAUUGUAUUAAAAUGUACAAAAAUCGAAUAAAUUGAUGUUGUGUACCUUUUGGCACUUUUUUUUAGAAAACAAAAUAGGUUCUUGUCUACUAAAUCAAACAGAAUGGGUCAAAUAAAAUAACCCAGCACAUGAGUAACACUUAGUUUCACCCACUGGUUGGGUCAAAUGAACAACCCUGAAUUCUGGGUUAAAUGAUAUAACCCAGCACUUGGGUCAAACCAACCCAGUGCGUGUUCUGUCCAAUAGUGACCCAGC